CACACAGAUAAUCACGGGGUUAAAAGGGUGGCACUGGUUAAAGAACAGAACGUGAAGUCAGUCACUAAAAACACUUUCAAGUUAACCUGUAUCGUAAAAUAUAUUAUAUAGUAGAUAAAAUGUAAUGUAUCCAUCACCGGUCAAACAAUGAUGUUUUUUUUGUUUGUUUGUUUUGCAGUCUGUCAGUAUUGCAGGCCAGGACUGUCUCUUUAUUCAGCGGCUUCCUGAUCGGCUGGUUUGAAGAAUGUUGGACAACUUGAAUUGUACAAAUAUGCAGAAACUGAUAUGAGUAAAAGCCUCCUUCAAGGUAAUACAAGACAAAGCUCAGUGUGACCUUAAAACAGUGCAGGAUUUUGAGACAGCCUAAACCUUUUAAUACAAUUUUACUGGGUUUAUAAAGGUUUAUUUCUGCGCUGAUGUACGGCUGUCUGCUCAUAAGAUUACAAGGGCUACUUUCACCGCAGCCUAAUUUGUAUGAUCCAUUUGGUGGUGACAGACUUUGAGUCUCCUGCUACACUCUUAAUGGCUUUAUACAAGUUUGCAACGUUUUUCUACUUCCUGCUUCAUAUGGAAAAAAAAAAAAAAAGAGACUUCCUUUAAAGAGCAUGUGAAGUGAGACGAGCCGUUUGAGGACACUAAAACAAGCGUGAAGCUGCUCCCAACUGAGGUUAUUACAGUGCACUGAAACUAUAAACAGAUGGAAGAAAACUAGCAAAUAUAUAUAGAUAAUCAUUAUUCAAGUUAUUAGACUGAGUCUUCUGGACUCCUCGGUGACUUGUUCCCAGCCAUCCAAAUCGUCAUACCGCCUUGAGGUGAUAAAUAGAAGCCAGUGAAGUCAAAGAUCUGCACUACCCCAUAAAGUAAAUAAAACUUCUGAAAGCCUCAGUGUGACUCAAAGUUGGUCUGACAGCUUCCAGUCACACUGAUCAAAUAAAAUCUUGUGUGUCUACACUCUUCAAUCAAAGGCACAAAAUCCUGUCUACCUGCUGGUAGAUAAGAUUUUGAUCUAAAACUAGGUGAUUUAAGAAAAGUUGACCUCCGACCUCAAGGUCAUUGAAACACAUCUGAGAGGUUUAGCAGAUGCACCUGUGGAAAAUCCUAUGUAGCACCAUUCUUGAGUUAUCGCAUUCACAAACCUGGGCGCCCACCUUGCAGGGUGACGACAAUACUUCAGCCUUUUUUACGAGUGAGGGGUUAAAAAAAAGAAAAGAAAAAAAGUAUCUGGUUGAAGUGUAACAUGAGAGAGUGUGAACAGAGGCCGCUUUGAAGUAAAGCAGACAUUAGAAUGGAGUUUUGGUGUAUGUUUGUGAUAUCCUCUGAUGUUUUAAAUUAGUGAAUAUUCAAAUGGAGUUUGGUGCGCAUUUAAAAAAUGUCUGAAUGUCUGGUGAGUGUGUGACGGUAAGAUGCAUGCUCAAUCAUACAGGUAAGGAAAUCCAAAAUGUUUAUUCUGUUCAUCUGGAUGUAGCGUUUUCAGUGGGAGAAACAUUUUGUCACUCAUCAUGGUGACUUCUUCAGUCUCAGCUGACUGCAGGUUUGCCCGACUUUAUAAACAGUAUGUUUGCAUAAUGACUGAAACUAGCUCACUGAAAGAACAAUGGGCUGUGUGGAAGACCUCACCAUCUCUGAAUCGAGGACAGGGCCAAAGGGUACAUCUUUCACCAUCUUACAAUGCUGUGAUUACAGCUAUUCCCCAACUCCCUGUGAAUGGUACUUACGACCAUUGAUCGGUGGUCUUUGAUCAGUGGUUGUUGAUCAACGGUCAUGACAAUUUGCAUAUUCAUGAUCAAUGAAUCGACCUCACAGCCCAUUGUUCAUUCAGUGGUGCUAGUUUCGGUCAUCAUGCAAAUGUAGUGUUAAUAAGGUUGGCAGUCAGCUGAGACUGAAGAAGUCACCCUGGAUGAGUGACGAAAUGUUUCUCCCACUAAAAACGAUAAGUCCAGAUGAACAGAACCAACCUUUUGGGAGAUGCAGAAAUUGGAAAUUAAAUCUGCUGAUCUAACAUCAGCAAACUGAUGGUAAACCAUCUCAUGGUUCCAAAAAAAUUUGCUGAUUACAUGAUCAGUGGCCAGCCAAAAACAUUAACACAGUGAUGCCCUUUUCACGCCAGCUGUGAAUGUCCAACCCUCACAUCUAAAGAGGAGGGUGUUGGGCUGACGUUAGGGGUCUUUUUAAAGUCAUCACAGCAGGACACGUAUACAAACAGCUGGUCACAAACAGACCAGCAGUGAAUCCAACACUCCUUCACACUGAUCCUGGUCCAGUCGUCUUUGAUGAUGAAUAAAGGAGCGCUGAGCAGCCACGCGGGGUGGAUGAGAGAAACUUCAGAACUUCAUGCCUGCUGCUGCUGUUGAGCUAAUAAUAACCCAGGUUUCUAUGGCGGCAGUAAACAGAGCUCAGGUGAUAUGCAACAAACGUGAGCACCGAGCAGGUGUGAAGUGAGCCUGAAGAUGAAGGUUGCAUGUACAUCUACAUAAACGUGUGCUAAACCUUCAGAUUUUCACACAUCCUAAAAGUACAGAAGCCUAUUAAUGGGUAGUUUUAAAGUCUAAACCUGACCAAGGUAUAUGGAGGGCCUAAACAUAACUGAGUACUUUUUAGUGACUAAUCUUAACCAAGUAGUUUUUAACGCUCUAACCAAACAAGCAUUCUUUUAAAAGACUAAAGCAAACAUAUUUAUUUUUAAAUAAAUACUUAUUUAUAUAAUUAUUUUUAAAUCAACCCAACAAAGGAGUUGUGUUUCAGCUGACAAGCACACAAAGCUAGAGAUCCUUCAGGUGACUUCAUGAGCCAAGAAGGCAAGUUGAGAUCUGUUGCUGCUGCAGAUAUCUGCAUCACAGCAGCUCUGCAGCGUGCUUCAACACAUGUAAUCAUGCAAAAAAAAAAAGAAAGAAAUCCGCCCGAAGGGAAUUAAUAAAAUUCCUGUUUGCAGAAUGAAAAGAUCCACAAAAAGGUUAGUAAGCUUCACAGGAAACAAAUGCAGUAGAAACAAGUUGAAGCAGAUAGAAAACAAGAGAAGAAGGAAGCCCGUAUUACCAGUGCGACCCCUUCAGUCAACACCAAACGGGGAUUGAGCCUCAGUGUCUCCAGGGCCACAGCCAUUGGUCAGAAAGGCCUGACAUGCAAAGGGAGGGGAGGUUGGAGGGGUGAGGAGGGGCAGCAAGAUAAGCACAUUGAGGAGGAAGAAGAGGAGGAAGGACACACACAAGAGAGAGAAGAACAACAACUGUGAGUCACACAGAGAAACAAAGCAGAAGAAGAAAGUUCAGAAAUCAGUCAGUGGCAGCACUCUAGCUAAAACCUGCAGUAGGCUGGAGAACUGGUUCAUGGGUGCUGCUAUGCCAAAAUCACAGAGGUUGCAGAACAAGACGAGGACUCCAAGCUGCAGUCCAACAUGGAGGAGAUGGAGUGUGUCUGAGAGCCAGCUGGUCUAAAUGUUUCUGAUGAAGGGGAUCUAGACUCGUAAGCCUGCAAACUGCUGCUGCUGUCGGCUGUUUCUCACAAACAAAGCAUGGAGGACGAGCAGCUUUAACAGAAACCGGAGCUCCAGCAGAAACUCAGUUAGAGGAGGAGCAUGUACAGAGGCUCUGAUUGGCUUGCAUUAUCUCACAUCUGGAGAACAUCCCAGCACCUCUGACUGCAUCCCCACACCAGGAGGAGACAUGAGGAGAGAGGAAACACCUUAUUAGAGAUCUUUAGAUCACAGCUGGAUGACACUGAGAUUUAAUGUGAGCCCAAACUACGAAGUUGAAAAGUAACCGAACACCUGGCUGCAGCUGUACGUCGUAUCUCCUGAACGCUGUUUGGACUCCAAUCAGAUGAACUCAAGAACACACAAAACUCCCCCAUAAAUCGAGCCCACUCUGGUGAUUAAACUGGAGGCAUAUUCAACCCCACAGAUUCAUGAAACCUAACGUGGAGGCAGCUCAUUGUGUUCUUCCACCUCAUCUAUUUAAAAAGUAACGACACAGACAACAGUUACUCUCAUUUUGGUUAUUUCAAUCUUACUGCACGGUCAUGUGAUAUCGAAAAAAGUUGUUUCCAGCUGGCUAAAAAAUAAAUAAUGGGAAAAUGGUAAUAAAGUUGCCAAUAAUAAAGUUGAAGCGUUUUGUUGUUUUGGGUUUUUUUGGAUUCAUUUUGUAAUUUGUAACCGACCACAGACAAAGAUUAGUUGGAAGAGGUAUUAACUGGCAGUAAUCCUCUUCGGCUAAAUCAGCACAAUACUAUCAUAGGUAUGAUUUCUCAGCUUGGGAGAUUCCAGCCCUCCAAGGAGCACAUGAAUGCAACCGUGCAUGCACUCUUAUUAUUAAAGCAAAUUAAUCACAUUUUUGAGGUUCAAGGCUGUCAGGGGUGAUUAAAAUUUUAAUAUUUUCUAUGUCUAAUUGGUUUACUUAAAAAACAAACAAAAAAAACAAAAAAAACAUUCAAGCUUUCCCACUGCUACAUUUAGCAUGUGUGCAUGAAAUUCAUACACAUAUGCAAUUUGACAAGAUAAGUCAUCUGAAUUCUCCAAAUAUAAAGGAAAGGUGCUUUAAUGCUUCCUUUAUUACCUCAUUUAUCUGGGCAUACACUGCGGUAUCCUUUAUGGAAGGAGAGGAUAUAAUGCUGUCCCAUAAUUCAUAGUGAUGCAGACAUGAGAAGCCUUAAUAAGGAGGAAGAAUGGAGUUACACUGGAUCUUCUUUUGUAAUGACUUUUUCAUGGUAACAAACUGUUAGCAUGAAGUCAGAGCACAAGUUCUUAUCAGUCGUACUUCAGAGCUAUCUUUGACCUCACGACAGAAGGAGGCAGGAGGUAUUUUUGGACCGAGAUGCCAUUUAAGCUAUUUCCAGGUACACUUCAAAACAUAUCAUGUACCACAAAACAUAUUUGGUUAAUCUAGUCCAGGGGUCUCAAAGUUAUUUUGCAUCAUGGAUCAGUGAAAGUAUAUAACAAAAUGUGUAAAAUUACAGAAAAAAACUGCUGACGGUUCAUUGGUCAGACUGUUCAUUCACAGAAGACUUCCUUG
This is a long non-coding RNA of Oreochromis niloticus (Nile tilapia), 5003 nucleotides long. RefSeq lists it as uncharacterized. The record is from RefSeq and is a predicted model, not a curated record. Lineage: Eukaryota; Metazoa; Chordata; Actinopteri; Cichliformes; Cichlidae. The transcript is spliced from 3 exons.